AGGUGACCUGCGGAAGGAUCAUUACCGAGUUUUCGGGCUUCGGCUCGACUCUCCCACCCUUUGUGAACGUACCUCUGUUGCUUUGGCGGCUCCGGCCGCCAAAGGACCUCCAAACUCCAGUCAGUAAACGCAGACGUCUGAUAAACAAGUUAAUAAACUAAAACUUUCAACAACGGAUCUCUUGGUUCUGGCAUCGAUGAAGAACGCAGCGAAAUGCGAUAAGUAAUGUGAAUUGCAGAAUUCAGUGAAUCAUCGAAUCUUUGAACGCACAUUGCGCCCCUUGGUAUUCCGGGGGGCAUGCCUGUUCGAGCGUCAUUACAACCCUCAAGCUCUGCUUGGAAUUGGGCACCGUCCUCACUGCGGACGCGCCUCAAAGACCUCGGCGGUGGCUGUUCAGCCCUCAAGCGUAGUAGAAUACACCUCGCUUUGGAGUGGUUGGCGUCGCCCGCCGGACGAACCUUCUGAACUUUUCUCAAGGUUGACCUCGGAUCAGGUAGGGAUACCCGCUGAACUUAAGCAUAUCAAUAAGCGGAGGA
Molecule: ribosomal RNA, 536 nt
Filed under: Lasiodiplodia pseudotheobromae
Lineage: Eukaryota; Fungi; Ascomycota; Dothideomycetes; Botryosphaeriales; Botryosphaeriaceae
Description: eukaryotic LSU rRNA
Rfam family: 5.8S ribosomal RNA (bases 162-315)
Source: RNAcentral